RNAcentral lists this ribosomal RNA (429 nucleotides) under bacterium. RNAcentral describes it as "partial 16S ribosomal RNA". It matches the Rfam family "Bacterial small subunit ribosomal RNA", at positions 355 to 776 of the family's 1533-position model. The record is from RNAcentral.
UGGGGAAUUUUGGACAAUGGGGGCAACCCAGAUCCAGCAAUGCCGCGUGUGUGAAGAAGGCCUUCGGGUUGUAAAGCACUUUUGUCCGGAAAGAAAACUUCGGGGCUAAUACCCCUGGAGGAUGACGGUACCGGAAGAAUAAGCACCGGCUAACUACGUGCCAGCAGCCGCGGUAAUACGUAGGGUGCGAGCGUUAAUCGGAAUUACUGGGCGUAAAGCGUGCGCAGGCGGUGCUGUAAGACCGAUGUGAAAUCCCCGGGCUUAACCUGGGAACUGCAUUGGUGACUGGCGCGCUGGAGUAUGGCAGAGGGGGGUGGAAUUCCACGUGUAGCAGUGAAAUGCGUAGAGAUGUGGAGGAACACCGAUGGCGAAGGCAGCCCCCUGGGCCAAUACUGACGCUCAUGCACGAAAGCGUGGGGAGCAAACAGG